AAGUCGUAACAAGGUCUCCGUUGGUGAACCAGCGGAGGGAUCAUUACAGAGUUGCAAAACUCCCCACAACCAUCGCGAACGUUACCUGCUUUACAAGCUCUUGUCAUUUGUCGUGGCAUCUUCUGAGUUAACACAAAAAUGAAUCAAAACUUUCAACAACGGAUCUCUUGGUUCUG
RNAcentral lists this unclassified non-coding RNA (176 nucleotides) under fungal sp. RNAcentral's name for it is "partial internal transcribed spacer region". The stretch from base 1 to 46 matches the Rfam family "Eukaryotic small subunit ribosomal RNA", at positions 1786 to 1831 of the family's 1831-position model. RNAcentral also lists the same sequence under 1 other name. The record is from RNAcentral. Lineage: Eukaryota; Fungi.